GUCCCUUUUUAGGGGCAUGGCCCUGUUAUCAUAUUUGGUGAGCAAACGCUGCUACGUCCUCUAAUCACCCCCCGAUGGGGGACGGGGGUUGAGGGGCGGCAUGCAUAGAAGUUAGGGCACCCCUUGGGGUGGACCGGACAGUGGCAUUGGUACGCCCUUGUCACAGCGAUGGGCCCGAUGAUACUGAAAGCAUGUUGGGGCUGGUAUCCUGGGACCUUCACGUGGUGGCCCUGUUUUGACUAACCUGACCAGGAUAUUCAUCAUGCUGUGGAUGGAAUGAAGAUGGCAUCAGUGUGUUAAAGCCCAAAUGUGAUCUGAUGAGAAACACACUGGAAACAGCAGUAAUUUUAGGCUUGAUGAGGUUGUACACUUCUGGAACUGUUCAUCGCUGUAUCACGAGGGUGCACAGGGACCAAGCAUCCUUGCUCUACCGCAAACUUCCUGUGACAGCAUUCAGCCUCGAUCGUCAGCUAGUUCUACUACGUACGCAAAUAUUGUGAUCUCUCAUAUCACCCUCCUUGGCUCAAAGGGGUGGACCACACAGCUGGUUAGCUAUGACCUCAGCAUCAGUUGGACUUGUACAUAGCUUCGCAGAUAAAAUGACCCAAAUUAUGGGGCUUCAGCCGCCCCUCUUCACUCGCUUAUUUUAUAGCCACAGUAUCCAGGAAGUUGUAUCUCAGCCACAGACCAAUGUAGAGAUGUUUCUGGAGUUGCUGCUUAUUGUGAUAGUUCUGGACAGCAUCAGACACUAUAGAUGGAACUGAUCAUUUGAAGGAGGGGGGGGGGGGGGGGGCAAUAAUUAGGCCAAAUAGCCCUCUCCACCUUUACCACUGCAACUUGAAGAUGUACCUUUAUACGAGGAUUCGUAGCCACGAAGGAACUGGAUUGGUGCAAAUUAAACUCGAUUGAACUGAACUGAACUUAAAACCAGGUUAAUGGCUCACAAUUUGACUUGACGGAACUACUUCAAGUUUUCCAUACUUCUGAACUGUUGCCGAUAUCGGUGUCUUUGUUCGUCUUGACAAAUCUGGGCAUGUGAUCGCUGUACGCAAACGGGAUCCGGGACGCUCUUCUACGGAAAAACCAUUGUGCGUGCUGAAACUUUUUGUUGAUUCAAGACUUAUGGAAUUUUUCAUCAUCAGAACUUUUGUGAGUGGUGGUGGGAAAUAUUGAGACUGCUGAGUUUUUGUUCAAAUUUAUUUUUCAAAGUUAAAAUAUCUUGUAUAUUUGCUACUUGGGCAUCCUUUUUUGUUGAAUGGUUCUCAUUUCUGAGCGACCCCAUUAUGGGGCACCAACCUUUUUAAUGUUUAUAGCAACCUAUUCAACCCCAGGGUGUCUUGCACAAAAAAAACCUCAAAGCGUCUUUGUUUUCACAACUAAAAAACAAAGUCAUCAUUUUUUUUAUACAUAAUUAGAGAGUAUAUCCAUUAGCUUUUCGACAAUGAAGAAAUCUUUCCAAUUGGGUAAAUGUUUAUUGAGUUAUGGCCAAAUCAAAAUAAGUACCAAUUUUU
Patiria miniata (bat star) is the source of this 1511-nucleotide long non-coding RNA. RefSeq lists it as uncharacterized. The record is from RefSeq and is a predicted model, not a curated record. NCBI's taxonomy places the organism in Eukaryota, Metazoa, Echinodermata, Asteroidea, Valvatida, Asterinidae. The transcript is spliced from 4 exons.